This is a long non-coding RNA of Bos taurus (domestic cattle), 506 nucleotides long. The record is from Ensembl. Lineage: Eukaryota; Metazoa; Chordata; Mammalia; Artiodactyla; Bovidae.
GUGCCUCUGAGUCUGUGCAGGAAGAAGGUACCCAGAGACCCUCACUCCUUCAGGUGGAGGGCCACUUGCUCAGAUGGCCUUGGAGUUUACUGUGCACCUUAGCCAGGCAUGCAGAUAAGUGGAAUGAUGGGAUUGGGGUGCAUUGUGUUGAGUCAGUCCACCUGGCAAGAUACCUGAACCUCAGCACCUGAUCCUGGAUGUUGGGUGAGGGCAUUGGACAAGAUGACCUGACGAUCCUUCCACUUCAGGCCCAUGCUUUUCUAGUUAGCGGUUUUCAGAGCUCACCUGCUCCAGGUGUGCCUCUAGUCUCCGUUCACUAGUCAUGUCUGAAUCCCGGAGGUGUCUAUGGAACAGUUGCCAGAAACCAACAAACCGAGGACUGGAAAGGAAGCAAGCUGAAUGCCAUCCAGAGGAUCAUCUUGCCAGUACUGCUCCGCUUGUAAAAACCAUCUUGGCCAAAUCCCUGUGAUUUCAUCCAGAACAAAUAAUAAAAAGCAGUGUGCAAU